Molecule: ribosomal RNA, 1407 nt
Filed under: Triticum aestivum (bread wheat)
Lineage: Eukaryota; Viridiplantae; Streptophyta; Magnoliopsida; Poales; Poaceae
Description: partial small subunit ribosomal RNA
Source: RNAcentral
AUGUCAUAUGCAUGGAGGAGUAUUACCCAUGGGAUUGGCCUCAUUAAAAAUGGAGUAAUUUGGCGAGUUGGAGAUGGUCAAAACAUCCGAAUCUGGGAUGACCCAUGGCUACUGAGGGCGUGGUCCAGGCAAGUGGUGACACCACGAGGGAAUAGCUUGUUAACCAGGGUGGCUGAGCUCAUUGAUCCGGGCACUGGGAAAUGGGACGAGGCCCUCAUCAGGGACACCUUUAGGGAGGAGGAUGCAGCGUUGAUCCUUCAACUACCAUUAAGGGACGAUACUGAAGAUUUCCGUGCGUGGCACUUCGAUAGCAAAGGUGUUUUCUCGGUGAAACAAGCCUAUAAGCUGCAACGGGUUAUUUCAGAACACGACGCCAUGGGGCAAGGUGGGGAGCCACAAGCUGUUGGUGAUCUUGAUGGUGGCGGUGACAUGAGGUGGAAAAGGAUAUGGAAGAUACCAUGCCCGGGGAAGAUCAGACACUUUAUGUGGAGAAUGUUGCAUAACACAAUCGCCACAAAAGACAUCCUAGCAAGAAGAGGGAUGAGCAUUGAGGAUCACCGUUGCUUCAUGUGUACAACGCGGCAUGAGACAGGGAAGCAUCUCUUUGUGGAGUGUCCCGAGGUGAAAGUGGUGUGGAGGAAGUUAGGGCUUGAACACAUCCGAGCGCAACUAGCUGACUGCGAUGUGAUUGGAGAAACCAUGGACAUUCUCUGGCGGGCCACAGAAAAGGAGAGGCUGCAGGUCAUAGUGAUGUGGUGGCAGUGGUGGACUUAGCGGAACAAAGUGCGGGAGGGGGAGAAGCCCAUGGAUCGCGAGCAGUUCAGUUAUAGGGCUACAUGCACGGCGGAGGAAUAUCUUGGGUGUUUCUGCAAAAUGGCAAAACCGUCGGCUCUCCCACAGGCAUGGGCCCCACCUCCUCCGGAUGAGCUAAAGAUCAACGUGGACGGCGCAUAUAUACCAGGCAGCCACCAUGGUGCUUGGGGUGCCAUCGUGCGUGACUCGACGGGGCAGGUGGUGGCGGCACGGGCAGGGCGGGUAGAUCACGUGGCUUCGGCCUUCGACACGGAAUUGCAUGCAGCAGAACGAGCGCUAGAGGUCGCGGCGGAGCUCGGAGUGCUGCGGCUCACGGUGGAAACGAACGCGCUCCUGGUGCAGCAAGCCUUAAGCCGCCGAGCGCCAGACUACUCCAUACAAGCCCAUGUGAUCGAUAAUGUCAAAGUGCAGGCGCGCUUGUGGUUUGCAUCUUGUGUGUUUGCUCAUUGUAAGAGGGAGGCUAAUAUGGCCGCUCAUAAUCUAGCUAAACUUGGGUUGGCUCUUGGAGUGGGAGAGGUCCUUGUACUGGAUGAUGAUUUGCCAGCUGAUAUAGCUGCGUCUGUGUUGGGUGAUUAUGCCCACAACGUGGAGUAA